This 1048-nucleotide long non-coding RNA is filed under the name Parus major (Great Tit). Its description in RNAcentral is "lncRNA (ENSPMJG00000008105.1)". The record is from RNAcentral. Lineage: Eukaryota; Metazoa; Chordata; Aves; Passeriformes; Paridae.
GGCUAAUACUAAAUUUUCAGUGAAUCUUGAAAUAGUGAAUAGAAACUUCUUUGGAAAAUAUAAAAUUACUUGAAUUGCCUUUUAACAAAACAAAGAUCAGUCAAAUAAAAGGUUUAUUUUAGGCAUAUACUAGGCCAAAUCCUGUAGUUUUCAGAUUGCAGAAAAUGUCUUCAUUGAAAGAGAAACAGAGGAAUAGUCACAAACUAUAACAGGGUAUAAAUUUUCCCAUACUGAAAAGAACUUGCAGGUUACUCUGCAUAUUUUCAGAGUAUAAUCUAAUAUACUUUUCCUUAUGCCUCCAUCUCAUUCUAUACAGUACAAUGUAAUUAAUUCACUGCCAUUAGCAAUGACUUGAAAUAGAUUUGGGAUUGACAUAGAAAAUGCAAUUUGCUUUUAUUGCAGGUGCUAUUAGUUCACUGGCACCAUUUUGGAAGUCACUGCUUUCAGGGUAAUGCUGCAGUGGGAAAAUGCACAUCCUCCUCAGCAGGUGAGUAUGAGUGGUAAUCAGAAGAAAUACAACACUGAGAUAAAAUUAGACUAAUAAUACAACAAGGAAAGGAACUCCAGCUCUCUGGGAAUUCUCCUAACCUGAGAACAAGAUGUCACCAUUUUCUACAGCAACGUGAAACCUAUAAGGUCUAAACUAUUUAUUUCUGGUAUGUAGAAAUUUCUGUUGGAGAUCAGUUUUCUGGUAACAGAAUAUAGUAUUUUUCUUGCUUGUGAUUGCAACAUUUUUUUAUUUGAGGUGUGAACAUAAAAGUUGUGUUAAUGUAACCUUUGUGAAUGUAGCACAUAAUUUUGGAGUACAAACAUAUACUAUGAAAUAUUUUCUGAUGAAUUAAAUACAUUUUUAAAAAUGCAUCUAAGGGAAAAAAAACCCCAAAACAAACCUACAACAGAAUUUCUGUUGAUUAAGAGGUAUUUUAUUCCAAAAUUCUAAAUAUCAGAAUCAAAUCAAUACUUACAUUUUUCAGUUCCCAAUCAUAAUAUUUUGAAAUUGUAUAUAUACAUAGAAAAAUACAACCUAAUAAAAACACUCAAAUUUGCA